RNAcentral lists this ribosomal RNA (198 nucleotides) under uncultured bacterium. RNAcentral's name for it is "partial 16S ribosomal RNA". It matches the Rfam family "Bacterial small subunit ribosomal RNA", at positions 328 to 539 of the family's 1533-position model. The record is from RNAcentral.
ACGCUCGACACCUACGGAGGCAGCAGUGGGGAAUAUUGCACAAUGGGGGAAACCCUGAUGCAGCGACGCCGCGUGAAGGAAGAAGUAUUUCGGUAUGUAAACUUCUAUCAGCAGGGAAGAAAAUGACGGUACCUGACUAAGAAGCCCCGGCUAACUACGUGCCCGACAGCCGCGGUAAUCUGAGCGGGCUGGCAAGGC